Molecule: long non-coding RNA, 354 nt
Organism: Tympanuchus pallidicinctus (lesser prairie-chicken)
Lineage: Eukaryota; Metazoa; Chordata; Aves; Galliformes; Phasianidae
Exons: 3
Source: RefSeq, a predicted model, not a curated record
CAAUCACGUGGAAUGCCAAAAAAAGAAACCUUUGUGCUGAGGUGAAGGGAUCAGAGCCCAGGCUGCAGCAAGCGGCUGCAGAAUUUCCUGCAAGAGCCCAUUGAGAUCUCACACUGUGACACAGCUGGAAAAACACGUUCCCAGCCUGCAGGCAGAAGCAAAGCUCUAAAACAGAGGAGCUUCAAGCUGACAAACAGCCCCGAUUUAAGGAGUUAAGCUGAAGAGCUCUCAUCACUAAAAGCACAUCUGCUGCAUGCCAGCUACUUUCUCUAAGUAGGCAAUUGUGGCCCUGGAUGCCUACCAGUAGUUAUGCUGUAACAGUGUCAAAGGUUAAGGCAGAUUUUCUGCAGAUCA